Long non-coding RNA from Erinaceus europaeus (western European hedgehog), 459 nucleotides. RefSeq lists it as uncharacterized. NCBI's taxonomy places the organism in Eukaryota, Metazoa, Chordata, Mammalia, Eulipotyphla, Erinaceidae. The record is from RefSeq and is a predicted model, not a curated record. The transcript is spliced from 3 exons.
CUCCCUCCUCCACAGCUGUAGCUGGCUUUUCAUCUAUGGCAAGCUGACUAAAUUCAAGGGCAGUGUCGGUUCAUGCUAGCCACACUCAUUUGGGUGAUUGUAUAAGACUGCAGGAAAAGUCCCUGGUAUAUGAACUGAUGGUGCAAUGAGAUUUCUGGCAUUCUUGGCUCAUGGGGACACAGCCCCCUACUCUGGGCUGUGGAGUGGCUGAAAGAAGAGAUAAUCUCAUCUCAGAGAACAAUUUGGAGGUGGAUUAAAGGCCCAAUUCUUCUAUGCCUGAGGAGUUUUUAGAAGAUUGAUUAGAUGAACAAGUUUGAGAACAGCAUCACAACACAGUUCUGGACCUUGCUCAGCCCUCUCCAGCUCAGUGCCCCAAAUGAGUAUCAGAGAUUUAUCAAAGGGGAAGGAUCCUUAGAAGUCACCUAGUAAGUCCAAGUCUCUUAUUUUACUAAUGAGAAC